GACGAACGCUGGCGGCGCGCUUAACACAUGCAAGUCGAACGGAAAGGCCUGCUUUCCCUUGUGGACUGCGGGUACUCGAGUGGCGAACGGGUGAGUAACACGUGAGUGAUCUGCCCCCAACUUGGGUAUAAGCCUGGGAAACUGGGUCUAAUUCCCGAUAGGACUGCAGGGUGGUGCCUGUGGUGGACAACGAUUUUCUAGUGGUUGGGGAUGAGCUCGCGGCCUAUCAGCUUGUUGGUGGGGUAAUGGCCUACCAAGGCGGCGACGGGUAGCCGGCCUGAGAGGGUGGACGGCCACAUUGGGACUGAGAUACGGCCCAGACGCCUACGGGAGGCAGCAGUGGGGAAUAUUGCACAAUGGGCGGAAGCCUGAUGCAGCGACGCCGCGUGGGGGAUGACGGCCUUCGGGUUGUAAACUCCUUUCGACCGCGAGGAAGCCACCUGGAUGGAAGGGUGGUGACGGUAGUGGUAGAAGAAGCACCGGCUAACUACGUG
This 494-nucleotide ribosomal RNA is filed under the name uncultured bacterium. RNAcentral's name for it is "partial 16S ribosomal RNA". It matches the Rfam family "Bacterial small subunit ribosomal RNA", at positions 28 to 507 of the family's 1533-position model. The record is from RNAcentral.